Molecule: long non-coding RNA, 702 nt
Organism: Sceloporus undulatus (fence lizard)
Lineage: Eukaryota; Metazoa; Chordata; Lepidosauria; Squamata; Phrynosomatidae
Exons: 5
Source: RefSeq, a predicted model, not a curated record
CUUCCCAGAUAUGUUUGAUGGAAACAAGGGAGAGGGCCUUCUCAGUGACUGUGCACAGACUCUGGAAAACCUUUACAGGGAGGCUUCCUCCAAGAGUUUUAGAAACUGACUGUGAUGGGCUUUUAAUGGCAAACUGAAUAAAGACUGCUGAUGGAAGGAGCCAGAUAGUGUACUUCUUCUCAUGCAUUAUUAUAAUAACCUGAAUAGGGCUACAUGUAUUCACAAGAAGUAUCUAACUCAGGUUUAUGCAUGAAAGGACAAUGUAGGGCAAUUUUCUCAACUGAUACUCAGAUUCAAUCUGGAGUUUGCCACUACAGCCUGGAUGCCAUAUUGCAAUUGCAAAAGAGAACACCAGCAUCUGCAUGAGGAACACAGGUUUCUUCAAUGUCCAGCUUUCACAUCCAUGCAAAGAAACUGGAAAUUCUGUUUCAUUAAGACAUACUUGGGGAUUAGUACAGACUACAGUUUAGUAGCUGAGGAAAAGAGUAAACUGCAAGAAACUGAAAAUGGAAAUCUGUACCUUUAACACAGCCAGAAGUCUGAGAUGAAGAGAUGGAAAAAGCUCCACCUGGGAUGCAUCUGGCCUCACCAGGAUAAAAAACGAUGUUGGCAACUGUUACGAAAGCCCAGCAUUUUUCCCUAGUUGUUUUCUCCAUUUAAUUUGGCAUCAUAAUUGUAAAAAUAAAGAACAAUAAAGAACUA